UACGUAGGGUGCAAGCGUUGUCCGGAAUUAUUGGGCGUAAAGAGCUCGUAGGCGGUUUGUCACGUCGGAUGUGAAAACCCGAGGCUUAACCUCGGGCCUGCAUUCGAUACGGGCUGACUAGAGUUCGGUAGGGGAGACUGGAAUUCCUGGUGUAGCGGUGAAAUGCGCAGAUAUCAGGAGGAACACCGGUGGCGAAGGCGGGUCUCUGGGCCGAUACUGACGCUGAGGAGCGAAAGCUAGGGUAGCAAACGGG
RNAcentral lists this ribosomal RNA (253 nucleotides) under uncultured bacterium. RNAcentral describes it as "partial 16S ribosomal RNA". It matches the Rfam family "Bacterial small subunit ribosomal RNA", at positions 524 to 776 of the family's 1533-position model. The record is from RNAcentral.